RNAcentral lists this unclassified non-coding RNA (258 nucleotides) under uncultured fungus. RNAcentral describes it as "partial contains small subunit ribosomal RNA, internal transcribed spacer 1, and 5.8S ribosomal RNA". The stretch from base 1 to 73 matches the Rfam family "Eukaryotic small subunit ribosomal RNA", at positions 1759 to 1831 of the family's 1831-position model. The record is from RNAcentral. Lineage: Eukaryota; Fungi.
GCAAACUUGGUCAUUUAGAGGAAGUAAAAGUCGUAACAAGGUUUCCGUAGGUGAACCUGCGGAAGGAUCAUUAACAAAUCCAUUGGCGCGCAUCCAAUUGCACAUUGUGCAUGAAGGAUGUGGCGACACAUGUACCGUGUGCAUUGUUUACUCUGCACAUUGUUCACAUUUCUACGAAUCAUCUGAUUGUUCAUAAAUGCAUAAAUGUCAACUUUUAACAAUGGAUCUCUAGGCUCCUGCAUCGAUGAAGAACGCAGC